UCUACGGGGGGCAGCAGUGAGGAAUAUUGGUCAAUGGCCGGAAGGCUGAACCAGCCAAGUCGCGUGAGGGAAUAAGGCCCUAUGGGUCGUAAACCUCUUUUGUCAGGGAGCAAAGGCGUCCACGAGUGGACGAAAGGAGAGUACCUGAAGAAAAGCAUCGGCUAACUCCGUGCCAGCAGCCGCGGUAAUACGGAGGAUGCGAGCGUUAUCCGGAUUUAUUGGGCGUAAAGCGAGUGCAGGCGGUUCCAUAAGUCUGAUGUUAAAGCCUUCGGCCCAACCGGAGAAUUGCA
Molecule: ribosomal RNA, 290 nt
Filed under: uncultured bacterium
Lineage: Bacteria
Description: partial 16S ribosomal RNA
Rfam family: Bacterial small subunit ribosomal RNA
Source: RNAcentral